GUCCUAUUGUAUUAUUUAAUAGGUCUGGCCUGCCCAGUAGAUAAAUUUCAACGGCCGCGGUAUAUUGACCGUGCAAAGGUAGCAUAAUCAUUAGUCUUUUAAUAGGAGGCUGGAAUGAAAGGUUUAACGAGAAAUUAACUGUCUCAAUUGCAAUCUUGAAUUUAUCUUUUGAGUCAAAAGACUUAAAUUUAAUUGGUGGACGAGAAGACCCUAUAGAGCUUGACAAUUAUUUUUUUUCUAUUUACUUAGUCAAAUUAUUUAUUUAUAUUAAAAAUAUUGUUUUGUUGGGGUGACAAUAAAUAUAUAUUUAACUUUUAUCAUAGUGUUAACAUUAAUAUAUGAUUUUUGGAUCCAAAAAUUUUGAUCAUUAAAUUAAGUUACC
This 382-nucleotide ribosomal RNA is filed under the name Ischnura heterosticta. Its description in RNAcentral is "partial large subunit ribosomal RNA". The record is from RNAcentral. Lineage: Eukaryota; Metazoa; Arthropoda; Insecta; Odonata; Coenagrionidae.